This 429-nucleotide ribosomal RNA is filed under the name Chloroflexota bacterium. RNAcentral describes it as "Chloroflexi bacterium partial 16S ribosomal RNA". It matches the Rfam family "Bacterial small subunit ribosomal RNA", at positions 355 to 776 of the family's 1533-position model. Lineage: Bacteria; Bacillati; Chloroflexota. The record is from RNAcentral.
UGGGGAAUAUUGCACAAUGGGCGCAAGCCUGAUGCAGCCAUGCCGCGUGUAUGAAGAAGGCCUUCGGGUUGUAAAGUACUUUCAGCGGGGAGGAAGGGAGUAAAGUUAAUACCUUUACUCAUUGACGUUACCCGCAGAAGAAGCACCGGCUAACUCCGUGCCAGCAGCCGCGGUAAUACGGAGGGUGCAAGCGUUAAUCGGAAUUACUGGGCGUAAAGCGCACGCAGGCGGUUUGUUAAGUCAGAUGUGAAAUCUCCGGGCUCAACCUGGGAAAUGCGUCUGCUACUGGCAAGCUAGAGUCUCGUAGAGGGGGGUAGGAUUCCAGGUGUAGCGGUGGAAUGCGUAGGGAUCUGGAGGAAUACCGGUGGCGAAGGCGGCCCGCUGGACGAAGACUGACGCUCAGGUGCGAAAGCGUGGGGAGCAAACAGG